GGCUAAAACAGUCAGGAUGUUGGCUUAGAAGCAGCCAUCAUUUAAAGAAAGCGUAAUAGCUCACUGAUCGAGUCGUCCUGCGCGGAAGAUGUAACGGGGCUAAGCCAGUCACCGAAGCUGCGGAUAUUUUUCCUGUGAUUUAUCACGGGAUCGAUAUGGUAGGAGAGCGUUCUGUAAGCCUGCGAAGGUGUCUUGUAAAGGAUGCUGGAGGUAUCAGAAGUGCGAAUGCUGACAUGAGUAGCGAUAAUGCGGGUGAAAAGCCCGCACGCCGUAAGCCCAA
This 280-nucleotide ribosomal RNA is filed under the name Pseudoduganella buxea. Its description in RNAcentral is "partial 23S ribosomal RNA". It matches the Rfam family "Bacterial large subunit ribosomal RNA", at positions 1082 to 1348 of the family's 2925-position model. Lineage: Bacteria; Pseudomonadati; Pseudomonadota; Betaproteobacteria; Burkholderiales; Oxalobacteraceae. The record is from RNAcentral.